UUCAUCCUGGUCGGUCUAUCGAGUCUGAGGCACUCUGCUAAACCAAGCCACCGUCCCACCGCUGUAAAAUUACGUUGCUUUAGACAUAAUUUUACAUUUAUUUCAUGAGUCAACGGACCCAGCCCACUCCCCCGUCCUUUUACAAUCUGGUUCAAGCAGUUUAGAUUCUCCACGGCGACCAGCAGGAGGUGGGUGACGGUGUGGUGUUUGAUGGAUUGACUCGGGGCCAAGUCCAUUGUGGCAAGUCUUCGAUGGUGCUCGCCGACGCAGCGGAAAACCUCCCCGUUUUAUUUUAAUGCGGCGAUGCGGUGAGCGACGGCGGGUGAGCGGCGGUCGACGAACUCGACGUUUGGAUUUUUGCCUCAUAGGCGGGGCGAUGUGCCGGCGUGCUGCUUGGAGGCUGGUGGCAUGACCACAUGGUGUGUAGCGACCGGGCAGGCGAUGCGGCUUGGCAUGCGGCAGCUCGCCUUGCGGCACUACGUUGAGUCCAAAUCUUUGUUAUUGGAACGGGAGGAGGUCAGCAGCUCUAAUCCUAAAUUGGUUGUUGCAUGCUUGUUGAUAUGAUCUGCAUCUCCAUCUCCUACCCCGGCAGUCGGUGACCUGUUUUUCGCCACCGGAUCUCUUAAAUAUUGCCUCCUCUCCAUCAAUUUACAUGAGUAUGUGCCAAUGUAAACUUAUUUGCAGGUGCAUGUGGACUCUUGAGUUUUGACCAGAUCUAACUUAUAUUCCAAAUUUCAGACUAGUGAAGCCUUCCACCGUGCAAGUAUGUUAAUGUAUUCUGGAGAAGCAGUAAUUAAGAUGUAAUCCUUGUCAUUUUACUGGGCAAGUGAAAUCAUAUUCUUUUUAUGUCCUAUUUGACAAUGUAUACGAUCAAUUGUGUUAAAAUGCCUAUAUUGCAAGAGUAAAAUAAAGUACCUAAACAUUUGUACAGUGUUCACGAAAUAAAGUAUUUUGGGA
RNAcentral lists this long non-coding RNA (957 nucleotides) under Hordeum vulgare. RNAcentral's name for it is "long non-coding RNA (HVUL_LNC004003)". The record is from RNAcentral. Lineage: Eukaryota; Viridiplantae; Streptophyta; Magnoliopsida; Poales; Poaceae.